UCUGUAUCUUAGAGGCAUUGCAGAUGUAGCUGCUAUGCCACAUGUGUGUCAGUAGGUGGCAGAGAAGAGAGAGGCUAUGUCUAUGCUCUUUGUUCUGACCUAUGAACAUCUAAAUGAUACUAGUAUAGCAUU
This is a small nucleolar RNA of Apodemus sylvaticus (European woodmouse), 132 nucleotides long. RefSeq annotates it as small nucleolar RNA SNORA17. The record is from RefSeq and is a predicted model, not a curated record. The transcript has a single exon. NCBI's taxonomy places the organism in Eukaryota, Metazoa, Chordata, Mammalia, Rodentia, Muridae.